Molecule: long non-coding RNA, 284 nt
Organism: Grammomys surdaster
Lineage: Eukaryota; Metazoa; Chordata; Mammalia; Rodentia; Muridae
Exons: 3
Source: RefSeq, a predicted model, not a curated record
GGUCGAAAGCUGUCCUGGGUAGCAACUUCUAUCAAAAGGAGCAUCACCUUGUCCAGCUGUUUUCCUAAUGCUCAGUGACAAAGGUGGCCCAGAGCAAAGAGAAGAGGCUUUGGGAACAGACGUGAAAUGGAGUGGAAGCUGUGGGCUCUGCAGGAGGGAGAGUACUGAAACUGUUGGCAUGGAUCACCUCACCUGGCCCAAUUCUAAUGUUUGAAGCUCAUUUUAUGCUUGCAAGUUAUUAACUUAUGGUUUGAGCUUAUGAUAUAAUAAACAUGCAAACAAAC